GCCGGGCAUGGUGGUGCAUGCCUGUAAUCCCAGUGACUCGGGAGGCUGAGAUGCGAGGAUCACUUGAGCCUAGGAGUUCAAGGCUGCAGUGAGCUAUGAUUGUGCCACUGCACUCCAGCCUGGGCCACAGAGUAAGACCUGUCUCUA
This is an unclassified non-coding RNA of Callithrix jacchus (white-tufted-ear marmoset), 147 nucleotides long. It matches the Rfam family "Metazoan signal recognition particle RNA". Rfam says of the family: The signal recognition particle (SRP) is a universally conserved ribonucleoprotein. It is involved in the co-translational targeting of proteins to membranes. NCBI's taxonomy places the organism in Eukaryota, Metazoa, Chordata, Mammalia, Primates, Cebidae. The record is from Ensembl.